This 530-nucleotide ribosomal RNA is filed under the name uncultured bacterium. RNAcentral's name for it is "partial 16S ribosomal RNA". It matches the Rfam family "Bacterial small subunit ribosomal RNA", at positions 355 to 874 of the family's 1533-position model. The record is from RNAcentral.
UGGGGAAUCUUCCGCAAUGGACGAAAGUCUGACGGAGCAACGCCGCGUGAGUGAAGAAGGUUUUCGGAUCGUAAAACUCUGUCUUUUGGGGCGAACGUGAGUAUGGUGAACAAUCAUAGUCAGUGACGGUACCAAAGGAGGAAGCCACGGCUAACUACGUGCCAGCAGCCGCGGUAAUACGUAGGUGGCAAGCGUUGUCCGGAAUUAUUGGGCGUAAAGAGCGCGUAGGCGGGAUAGUCAGUCUGUUGUAAAGUGCGGGGCUCAACCCCGUGAUGGCAAUGGAAACAGCUAUUCUUGAGUGCAGGAGAGGAAAGUGGAAUUCCCAGUGUAGCGGUGAAAUGCGUAGAUAUUGGGAGGAACACCAGUGGCGAAGGCGACUUUCUGGACUGUGUCUGACGCUGAGGCGCGAAAGCCAGGGGGAGCGAACGGGAUUAGAUACCCCCGGUAGUCCUGGCCGUAAACGAUGGGUACUAGGUGUGGGAGGUAUCGACCCCUUCCGUGCCGGAGUUAACGCAAUAAGUACCCCGCCU